UUAGCGAAACGGGAUACAUGCUCGAUGAACGAAGAUCCCAAAUGGCACCGCAUAAUCUUGAAGCCCAACUAUUGCUCAAAGAUCAUACAUUAGCCGAAGCAAGAGAGCAAGAAAAUAAAUGGGAUGAUUUGUUCGUAGAGUACCCCAUAUCCACGACCGAAGGCGACACCACCGAUGCGAGCGAGUCAUCUCAAUGCACCGAAGGCG
Molecule: long non-coding RNA, 207 nt
Filed under: Salvia miltiorrhiza (redroot sage)
Lineage: Eukaryota; Viridiplantae; Streptophyta; Magnoliopsida; Lamiales; Lamiaceae
Description: long non-coding RNA (SMIL_LNC012441)
Source: RNAcentral